UGGGGAAUUUUGGACAAUGGGGGCAACCCUGAUCCAGCAAUGCCGCGUGUGUGAAGAAGGCCUUCGGGUUGUAAAGCACUUUUGUCCGGAAAGAAAACUUCGUCCCUAAUAUGGAUGGAGGAUGACGGUACCGGAAGAAUAAGCACCGGCUAACUACGUGCCAGCAGCCGCGGUAAUACGUAGGGUGCGAGCGUUAAUCGGAAUUACUGGGCGUAAAGCGUGCGCAGGCGGUCUGUUAAGACCGAUGUGAAAUCCCCGGGCUUAACCUGGGAACUGCAUUGGUGACUGGCAGGCUUUGAGUGUGGCAGAGGGGGGUAGAAUUCCACGUGUAGCAGUGAAAUGCGUAGAGAUGUGGAGGAAUACCGAUGGCGAAGGCAGCCCCCUGGGCCAACACUGACGCUCAUGCACGAAAGCGUGGGGAGCAAACAG
RNAcentral lists this ribosomal RNA (429 nucleotides) under uncultured bacterium. RNAcentral's name for it is "bacterial SSU rRNA". It matches the Rfam family "Bacterial small subunit ribosomal RNA", at positions 355 to 775 of the family's 1533-position model. The record is from RNAcentral.